Molecule: long non-coding RNA, 2301 nt
Filed under: Glycine max (soybean)
Lineage: Eukaryota; Viridiplantae; Streptophyta; Magnoliopsida; Fabales; Fabaceae
Description: long non-coding RNA (GMAX_LNC004200)
Source: RNAcentral
AAUAAUUAAAUGCUAACAAGAUCCUUUCUUACAAAAUAUUUUGACCCUCAUAUCUUAUUAAAUAUUAUUUUUAUUAGUGAAUCAUCAAAUGCUUAAAAUCACUCAUAAUAUUAUUUUGAUCAUUGAAGAAAUAAAACAGCAACAAAACAAGACAAACGAACUAAAUACAUCUAGUCAGAGACACUCCCAAAUCAUCUGCUAGGACUAAGUAAGAAAUAUCUACUGGACAUUGGUUCCAGAUCGACAAAGUAGAAUCAUUUUGAGCUCCUUUCUUCGCAAAAGCAUCAGCACAGAAAUUACUCUACCUGUAGCAAUGACUAAACACAAUAUGACCUUGCUGAGAUGUGAAGGAACGGAUUUGCUCCACCAAAGGAUAAUAAGGAUGAUAAACAGAAGUACCGCUGCUAAUAAGAUCAAUACCAACUUUUGAAUCUGAAUGACAAAUCAACCAUUAGAGUUUAAUUUCACAUAAUUUUCCGAAGGAGGACUCCAGGAAAACCAGAAUAUUAUUAUGAGGCCUAGGAGUACUGAUGUAGAGCAUAUCUCGAUAUUUUUGUCAAAACGACAUCUUAUUUUUUACUAUAAUUCUAAGAAUAUUUGUUGCUUUAUUUUAGGAUUUUUUUUUUUAUAUUUUGUUGUUUUUUAUUUUAAGAAAUUAGGAAGAUAUGAUCAUAUUUAAUUCGGGAAAUCAGGAAGAUAGGAUUCUUAUUUAAUAAGAAAAAUUAAGAUGAUAUCAUCCUUAUUUUUUCUUAUUUAGGUUUAUUCUGUCUAUAUAUGAAACAAUUUUAUGUAAUCACAAUAUAUUGAAAUAAAAUGAAUUAGGAAGGCUUUUUCAUGCAUCAACCUCUAGGUAAUUUUAUGAACCAAUCUGUCUGAAGUUUGUCUUGGUAUCUUUCCACAUUUCGAGCCUUUCAAAUCUGCUAACAAGUUACUGCGAAAAGAGCGUCAUAAUCAGCCUUGAUGUGAUAUGAUGUGUCUUCACAGCCAAGUUUAAAUGUCCUCACUAUGACCAGGAGAAACAUCCAUACGAAGCAAAUUCCAAAUUCUGAUAGCUUUGGGACAGUGAACUAAAACGUGAAAAAUAGAUUUAAUAUCAGCUCCACACCUGAAACAAUGAAAAUCUAAAGACGACAAGUGAUGGUUAGCACGAAAAAGUUUUCUCAAACUCAGUCAUUACAUACAAACUUGAAUAUAUUUAAGCAUCUUUAUAAAUACUAAUACUUUAAUUUCAUUCUCAAGCAUUAUGACUUAAUUUUAAUUUAAUUAGUAGUCUCAAAUUUAAGUCUUAGAUAAUAAUUUAAUUUGAGUCAAACAAGAUUAUGUUUAAUAAAAAAAAUACAUAUUUAUACUAAGAAUACAAGUUGAGACAUGAUAUUAGACAUGACACAGACAUAGAAAUAUGCUUACGAUACAAAAAACACGACACAACACGCGCAUGCGUGUACAUACACAUAUGUAAGAUGUGAUCAACAUCAUUAUGACAAAAAUUUUAAUAUGAUCAAACAUAAUAAUAAAAUUUAUAUAUUCAUAUGGUAAAAUUUAACUUUAUGACAUAUCUCUAUAGGAGUUUUAUUUGAUCCUCUUGCUCCAUAGCUUCAUUAGCACUACUCAUCUCUAUAAUAAAAAAAUGGAUACAAUAAGAAUUAAGCAAAAUAAAACAUUGAACAAAUCCUAUAUAUGUAUGAAUGAGCACGUGACCAGUUAGGAAAAAAAACUUUGAUUAAAUAAAGAAAGACAAAAUAAAAAGUCCAUAGUCACUUUCUCUGUUUUUUGAUCAGCCAAACAAAAAGAAUUUUAUCUAUAACAAAUCCACAAUACAACCAAAGAAACCCCCAAAUAGGAAAUGUUAAACCCAGAAAUCCAGAAUUUUAUAUUAUGACACGGAAAAUAAAAAAUAGAAAAGAAAAAUAGGGGAGCAACAAAAAAAUAAAAAGUAGAAAAGAAAAACAAGGGAGCAAUAGAAAAAUAAAGCAUAGAAAAGAGAGAGAUAGAGGAGCAACAAAAAAAAAUAAAAGGUAGAAAAGAGAAAGAGGGAAUUUAUCUUGUGUUCUAUGCGCGAUGACGGAGGUCUCACAUGGUCUGAGCGCGACAGUCUGCACGCAGCAACGACGUGCUUUGCGUGUGAAGAUGAAGGUCCAACAAUGGUGUUUGGUUUGCUUGCAGAGCAGAAAACGUGAAGGAGAAGAAGAAGGUUUGUCUCGUGUGUGAGAAUCAAGGCGAUUCGUUCUCUAUCAUAAACAUUUUUUUAUUUUUAUUGACAAAUAAUAAAAAAUAGAUGAUCUGUUUGUGUUUGGAUGGUGG